UAGGUGGAAUCUGUGCUCCGGGAGCUUGGGUUCUGAAGAUGGAGAUGCCCAAAGCGGCACCGGCCAUCCGGCGCACCAGCUGAGGAGGUGGUCAAAUCUUGUAUAGGAACCAAGUUCAUCGGCCGUUGGUUGCGCUGGAUGCGGUGGAGACAGUCAUGAUUCCGAGCAAGCAAGCUGCUGAUGGAGGAACGUGUGGCCAAGAUGUUACCGAUUUGCUUGCUCUCAAGCCGGGCGUCUUUUUCACCGAGAAAGGCGUCUCCGAUCUGGCCCAUCACUUCCUGUUGAAUGCCGGAAUCACGGCGAUUCUCCGGCUUCAUAAACCCAAAGACAGCCGGGUGCCAUGUGCCAUCGUCAACCAAACGUAGGAACUCACCGAGAAGGAAGGGAACGGUGCCGGUCUGUUCGAGAUGAAAAAGAUGGACGACGAAUACUUCUGCUUCGCCACGGAACGUACUAAGCUCUGGACCAUCUCUUCCGUGGUGCCUUCAAGGAAAUUUUCAACGAAACCGAACGUAGUCGGCCGAAACUGGCCAAUCGAGCAGCAAAAAAGCGAAAAGUGACCCAUCCCGGCGAGGCGAGGGAACCUGUAUACAGUUUUUGUGUGCGCAUCAACACCGCCCGGCUUCCUGGCAUCCCCCAACUGGGAUCACCCCUAGCAUUCCAGCAAGUAGCACGGCGGAACCCCCGGCAGCCAACGACGGAAAACA
Culex quinquefasciatus (southern house mosquito) is the source of this 707-nucleotide long non-coding RNA. RefSeq lists it as uncharacterized. NCBI's taxonomy places the organism in Eukaryota, Metazoa, Arthropoda, Insecta, Diptera, Culicidae. The record is from RefSeq and is a predicted model, not a curated record. The transcript has 3 exons.